UACGAAGGGUGCAAGCGUUAAUCGGAAUUACAGGGCGUAAAGCGUGCGCAGGCGGCUUUGCAAGACAGAUGUGAAAUCCCCGGGCUCAACCUGGGAACUGCAUUUGUGACUGCAAGGCUAGAGUACGGCAGAGGGGGAUGGAAUUCCGCGUGUAGCAGUGAAAUGCGUAGAUAUGCGGAGGAACACCAAUGGCGAAGGCAAUCCCCUGGGCCUGUACUGACGCUCAUGCACGAAAGCGUGGGGAGCAAACAGG
RNAcentral lists this ribosomal RNA (253 nucleotides) under uncultured bacterium. RNAcentral's name for it is "partial 16S ribosomal RNA". It matches the Rfam family "Bacterial small subunit ribosomal RNA", at positions 524 to 776 of the family's 1533-position model. The record is from RNAcentral.